AUACCUUUCUCGGCCUUUUGACUAAGAUCAAGUAUCUGUUCUUAUCAAUUUAAUAUCUGAUAUGUGUGUCAUGUGCUUACAAUGAUAUUAAAUUUAUUUUUUAUGAGGGAGGGUUCACUCAUGGCUUGCCACUGGGGCCUUGGGUGUUGCCUGGGCGUUGCACUACAGCCCGGCAGGCGCACCCCAA
This is a non-coding RNA of Triticum aestivum (bread wheat), 187 nucleotides long. NCBI's taxonomy places the organism in Eukaryota, Viridiplantae, Streptophyta, Magnoliopsida, Poales, Poaceae. The record is from Rfam.